GACGAACGCUGGCGGCGUGCCUAAUACAUGCAAGUUGAGCGCUGAAGGUUGGUACUUGUACCGACUGGAUGAGCAGCGAACGGGUGAGUAACGCGUGGGGAAUCUGCCUUUGAGCGGGGGACAACAUUUGGAAACGAAUGCUAAUACCGCAUAAAAACUUUAAACACAAGUUUUAAGUUUGAAAGAUGCAAUUGCAUCACUCAAAGAUGAUCCCGCGUUGUAUUAGCUAGUUGGUGAGGUAAAGGCUCACCAAGGCGAUGAUACAUAGCCGACCUGAGAGGGUGAUCGGCCACAUUGGGACUGAGACCCGGCCCAAACGCCUACGGGAGGCAGCAGUAGGGAAUCUUCGGCAAUGGACGAAAGUCUGACCGAGCAACGCCGCGUGAGUGAAGAAGGUUGUCGGAUCGUAAAACUCUGUUGGUAGAGAAGAACGUUGGUGAGAGUGGAAAGCUCAUCAAGUGACGGUAACUACCCAGAAAGGGACGGCUAACUACGUG
This 497-nucleotide ribosomal RNA is filed under the name uncultured bacterium. Its description in RNAcentral is "partial 16S ribosomal RNA". It matches the Rfam family "Bacterial small subunit ribosomal RNA", at positions 28 to 507 of the family's 1533-position model. The record is from RNAcentral.